GCCAAGAAAAACAAAUGCUAAUGGAAUUUACCACCACUUUUCCUACCUGGGAAAGGAUAUCAGUAACUGCAUGAAAAUAGAGAAAUUAUAAAACUCACUGAUUCUUGAUUCUAAAAGGCAUAUGAUCAACAAUUCUAAAGAUAGUCCUUAGGAAACUGAAGAAAUAGGUCCGUGUAAGCAAUCUUAAAAAGGUCUUCAUCAUUAUUUGUUCUGAUUCUGGGUACCAAAAGGCAUGGUAUGGACAACCCCAAAAUAGGUGA
Non-coding RNA from Myodes glareolus (Bank vole), 260 nucleotides. The record is from RefSeq and is a predicted model, not a curated record. Lineage: Eukaryota; Metazoa; Chordata; Mammalia; Rodentia; Cricetidae.